AGUCGACGAGGUAGCAAUACCUAGUGGCGGACGGGUGAGUAACGCGUGGGAAUCUGCCUUUGGAUGGGGGAUAACGGGUCGAAAGACUCGCUAAUACCGCAUAUGACGAAAGUUGAAAGGAGUAAUCCGUCUAAAGAUGAGCCCGCGUCCGAUUAGCUAGUUGGUAGAGUAAAAGCCUACCAAGGCGACGAUCGGUAGCUGGUCUGAGAGGAUGAUCAGCCACAAUGGGACUGAGACACGGCCCAUACUCCUACGGGAGGCAGCAGUGGGGAAUUUUACGCAAUGGGCGAAAGCCUGACGUAGCGACACCGCGUGAGCGAAGAAGCCCCUUGGGGUGUAAAGCUCUGUCAGCUGGAACGAAAAAAAUGACGGUACCAGCAGAGGAAGCAUCGGCUAACUACGUGCCAGCAGCCGCGGUAAGACGUAGGAUGCAAGCGUUGUCCGGAUUUAUUGGGCGUAAAGAGUUCGUAGGUGGUUUGUUAAGUUUGGUGUUAAAGAUUGGGGCUCAACCCUGAAACUGCACUGAAUACUGGCAGACUCGAGUGUGGUAGAGGCUAGUGGAAUUCCCAGUGUAGCGGUGAAAUGCGUAGAUAUUGGGAAGAACACCGGUGGCGUAGGCGACUAGCUGGGCCAUAACUGACACUGAGGAACGAGAGCCAGGGGAGCGAAUGGGAUUAGAUACCCCAGUAGUCCUGGCCGUAAACGAUGGAUACUAGGCGUAUCGGGUAUCGACCCCUGAUGUGCCGCAGCUAACGCGAUAAGUAUCCCGCCUGAGUAGUACGGCCGCAGGGUUGAAACUCAAAGGAAUUGACGGGGGCCCGCACAAGCGGUGGAACAUGUGGUUUAAUUCGAAGCAACGCGAGACCUUACCAGGGCUUGACAUGCUAGGAACUUUAGGAACUAGAGGGUGCCCGCAAGGGAGCCUACACACAGUGGUGCAUGGCUGUCGUCAGCUCGUGUCUGGAGAUGUUGGUUAGUCCCGCAACGAGCGCAACCCCGAUGU
This 1003-nucleotide ribosomal RNA is filed under the name uncultured bacterium. RNAcentral's name for it is "bacterial SSU rRNA". It matches the Rfam family "Bacterial small subunit ribosomal RNA", at positions 60 to 1110 of the family's 1533-position model. The record is from RNAcentral.